AUUGAACGCUGGCGGCAGGCCUAACACAUGCAAGUCGAGCGGAGUGGCGGACGGGCGAGUAAUGCCUAGGAAUCUGCCUGGCAUAGGGGGAUAACGUCCGGAAACGGGCGCUAAUACCGCACACUACUUGAUGAGCCUAGGUGGGAUUAGCUAGUUGGUGGGGUAAAGUCGUACCAAGGCAACGAUCCGUAACAGCUCUGAGAGGAUGAUCGGUCACACUGGAACUGAUACACGGUCCAGACUCCUACGGGAGGCAGCAGUGGGGAAUAUUGGACAAUGGGCGAAAGCCUGAUCCAGCCAUGCCGCGUGUGUGAGGAAGGUCUUCGGAUUGUAAAGCCCUUUAAGUUGGGAGGCGUUACCAACAGAGUAAGCACCGGCUAACUUCGUGCCAGCAGCCGCGGUAAUUC
This 407-nucleotide ribosomal RNA is filed under the name uncultured bacterium. Its description in RNAcentral is "partial 16S ribosomal RNA". It matches the Rfam family "Bacterial small subunit ribosomal RNA", at positions 30 to 526 of the family's 1533-position model. The record is from RNAcentral.